UUAAAUUGAAGAGUUUGAUCAUGGCUCAGAUUGAACGCUGGCGGCAGGCCUAACACAUGCAAGUCGAACGGUAACAGGAAGCAGCUUGCUGCUUUGCUGACGAGUGGCGGACGGGUGAGUAAUGUCUGGGAAACUGCCUGAUGGAGGGGGAUAACUACUGGAAACGGUGGCUAAUACCGCAUAACGUCGCAAGACCAAAGAGGGGGACCUUCGGGCCUCUUGCCAUCAGAUGUGCCCAGAUGGGAUUAGCUUGUUGGUGAGGUAACGGCUCACCAAGGCGACGAUCCCUAGCUGGUCUGAGAGGAUGACCAGCCACACUGGAACUGAGACACGGUCCAGACUCCUACGGGAGGCAGCAGUGGGGAAUAUUGCACAAUGGGCGCAAGCCUGAUGCAGCCAUGCCGCGUGUAUGAAGAAGGCCUUCGGGUUGUAAAGUACUUUCAGCGGGGAGGAAGGUGUUGCGGUUAAUAACCGCAGCAAUUGACGUUACCCGCAGAAGAAGCACCGGCUAACUCCGUGCCAGCAGCCGCGGUAAUACGGAGGGUGCAAGCGUUAAUCGGAAUUACUGGGCGUAAAGCGCACGCAGGCGGUCUGUCAAGUCGGAUGUGAAAUCCCCGGGCUCAACCUGGGAACUGCAUUCGAAACUGGCAGGCUUGAGUCUUGUAGAGGGGGGUAGAAUUCCAGGUGUAGCGGUGAAAUGCGUAGAGAUCUGGAGGAAUACCGGUGGCGAAGGCGGCCCCCUGGACAAAGACUGACGCUCAGGUGCGAAAGCGUGGGGAGCAAACAGGAUUAGAUACCCUGGUAGUCCACGCCGUAAACGAUGUCUACUUGGAGGUUGUGCCCUUGAGGCGUGGCUUCCGGAGCUAACGCGUUAAGUAGACCGCCUGGGGAGUACGGCCGCAAGGUUAAAACUCAAAUGAAUUGACGGGGGCCCGCACAAGCGGUGGAGCAUGUGGUUUAAUUCGAUGCAACGCGAAGAACCUUACCUGGUCUUGACAUCCACAGAAGAAUCCAGAGAUGGAUUUGUGCCUUCGGGAACUGUGAGACAGGUGCUGCAUGGCUGUCGUCAGCUCGUGUUGUGAAAUGUUGGGUUAAGUCCCGCAACGAGCGCAACCCUUAUCCUUUGUUGCCAGCGAUUAGGUCGGGAACUCAAAGGAGACUGCCAGUGAUAAACUGGAGGAAGGUGGGGAUGACGUCAAGUCAUCAUGGCCCUUACGACCAGGGCUACACACGUGCUACAAUGGCGCAUACAAAGAGAAGCGACCUCGCGAGAGCAAGCGGACCUCAUAAAGUGCGUCGUAGUCCGGAUUGGAGUCUGCAACUCGACUCCAUGAAGUCGGAAUCGCUAGUAAUCGUGGAUCAGAAUGCCACGGUGAAUACGUUCCCGGGCCUUGUACACACCGCCCGUCACACCAUGGGAGUGGGUUGCAAAAGAAGUAGGUAGCUUAACCUUCGGGAGGGCGCUUACCACUUUGUGAUUCAUGACUGGGGUGAAGUCGUAACAAGGUAACCGUAGGGGAACCUGCGGUUGGAUCACCUCCUUACCUUAAAGAAGC
Molecule: ribosomal RNA, 1556 nt
Filed under: Salmonella enterica subsp. enterica serovar Typhimurium
Lineage: Bacteria; Pseudomonadati; Pseudomonadota; Gammaproteobacteria; Enterobacterales; Enterobacteriaceae
Also listed under: 2 other names
Description: bacterial SSU rRNA
Rfam family: Bacterial small subunit ribosomal RNA
Source: RNAcentral